Molecule: small RNA, 28 nt
Filed under: Bombyx mori (domestic silkworm)
Lineage: Eukaryota; Metazoa; Arthropoda; Insecta; Lepidoptera; Bombycidae
Description: ovarian small RNA-19477
Source: RNAcentral
UAAGUUGAAUUGAGAAUCAAUGGAUUGC